AAGGCUGAAAGGGACUGUCGGACUCUUAAUCCGUAGGUCGUAGGUUCGACUCCUACACGCCCAACCA
RNAcentral lists this transfer RNA (67 nucleotides) under Betaproteobacteria bacterium RBG_16_64_18. RNAcentral's name for it is "tRNA-Ser". Lineage: Bacteria; Pseudomonadati; Pseudomonadota; Betaproteobacteria. The record is from RNAcentral.